RNAcentral lists this ribosomal RNA (253 nucleotides) under uncultured bacterium. Its description in RNAcentral is "partial 16S ribosomal RNA". It matches the Rfam family "Bacterial small subunit ribosomal RNA", at positions 524 to 776 of the family's 1533-position model. The record is from RNAcentral.
UACGUAGGGGGCUAGCGUUGUCCGGAUUUAUUGGGCGUAAAGAGCGUGUAGGCGGCCGCACAGGUCCGUUGUGAAAACUGGAGGCUUAACCUUCAGACGUCGAUGGAAACCGUGCGGCUAGAGUCCGGAAGAGGAGAAUGGAAUUCCUGGUGUAGCGGUGAAAUGCGCAGAUAUCAGGAAGAACACCCGUGGCUAAGGCGGUUCUCUAGUACGGUACUGACGCUGAGACGCGAAAGCGUGGGGAGCGAACAGG